CUGAUCUUUCGGUUAUUGAAAACGGCCAUGGAUGGCACAGCUCAAAACCUAAACCUGGCAUCUCUCUCUCUCUCUCUCUCUCUCUCUCUCUCUCUCUCUCUUAUAGAGUUAAACCCUAAAUCAUUUUCAUCUUCUUACGAAGCUUCCCCCGUAGAUGCAGAUUUGUGUAUUCUAAUGUGGAUCUUAGCUAUUUCUCAAAGCGAGUAGAAAUCUGAAAACAGUAAUUUUUGACAGAAUGGAAGAUGAUGAAAUAUAGCAGGUACUUAAGAGGUAUUCAUAGCUUAAGAUGUUCUCCUGGUGCAGCCAUUGUAGUUGUGCCGAGCUUCUAAAGUUAUGCCAUAUGAUUAUACAUCAAUUGCUUGCUGAUUCCUUCUGUCAAUCUAGCAUAAGGCUUAAUCAUGUUUUUAAUCGUUAUAUGGCAAAAACAAAAGACCUAUAUCAAAUUCUAUAAUGUUGAAAAUAAACUUUCAUAUUGGUGCC
Lactuca sativa (garden lettuce) is the source of this 480-nucleotide long non-coding RNA. RefSeq lists it as uncharacterized. The record is from RefSeq and is a predicted model, not a curated record. Lineage: Eukaryota; Viridiplantae; Streptophyta; Magnoliopsida; Asterales; Asteraceae.